RNAcentral lists this ribosomal RNA (223 nucleotides) under Staphylococcus epidermidis. RNAcentral's name for it is "partial 23S ribosomal RNA". It matches the Rfam family "Bacterial large subunit ribosomal RNA", at positions 1353 to 1572 of the family's 2925-position model. The record is from RNAcentral. Lineage: Bacteria; Bacillati; Bacillota; Bacilli; Caryophanales; Staphylococcaceae.
UCCAGAGGAAGGCUCGUCCGCUCUGGGUUAGUCGGGUCCUAAGCUGAGGCCGACAGGCGUAGGCGAUGGAUAACAGGUUGAUAUUCCUGUACCACCUAGUAUCGUUUUAAUUGAUGGGGGGACGCAGUAGGAUAGGCGAAGCGUGCUGUUGGAGUGCACGUCCAAGCAGUAAGGCUGAGUGUUAGGCAAAUCCGGCACUCAUAAGGCUGAGCUGUGAUGGGGA